This 416-nucleotide ribosomal RNA is filed under the name Phaeographis intricans. Its description in RNAcentral is "SSU rRNA". It matches the Rfam family "Bacterial small subunit ribosomal RNA", at positions 352 to 759 of the family's 1533-position model. Lineage: Eukaryota; Fungi; Ascomycota; Lecanoromycetes; Ostropales; Graphidaceae. The record is from RNAcentral.
CAGUGAGGAAUAUUGGUCAAUAGCCUAAUCGGCUGAACCAGCAACUUGGAGGAAUGUACAGGGAAAACUGGUAAAAUGUGAUGUACCUGAUAGUAUUAGUGAUUAAUAUGAAAUUAACUAAGUUAAUUAAAAUUCAAAGUAGAUAUGUGAUUAUGACAAUAUUUGCUUAUUUCUUGACCAAGUCACGUGCCAGCAGUCGCGGUAAUACGUGGAAGAUAAGUGUUAUUCAUCUUUAAUAGGUUUAAAGGGUACCUAGACGGUUAAUUAAGCAUAUAAGUGUACUAAUUAUUAACUAGAGUUUAAUGUAAGAAGGAUUGAGUACGGUGAGUGAAGAGAUAAAAUUCUGUCAUACCACUUAGGAACUGGUAAAGGCGAAGGCAACCUUUUAUGUAAAAACUGACGUUGAAGGACGAAGG